Long non-coding RNA from Cuculus canorus (common cuckoo), 2392 nucleotides. RefSeq lists it as uncharacterized. The record is from RefSeq and is a predicted model, not a curated record. Lineage: Eukaryota; Metazoa; Chordata; Aves; Cuculiformes; Cuculidae. The transcript has 3 exons.
GGCUGAUUAUUAAAGCUGACCCAGCCUCAUGUUCCUGCGUGGAAGCAUGAUGGUGAGCCAUUCAGCUGUAUCAGUGCAUUCACAGUGAGCUCAGGCCUUGGACCGUCACUGUGCAAUGCAGAGACACCCCUGGAGUGAUUCAGAGGGACCAGCUCACAAUUACCCAAGAUGCUGCUGAGAGACAUUGCUUCUGCAGGACUGUGUGAUUCAAGCCCUGGAUGACUUUCAUCUAUGAAGGGAAGACAGUUCAUUUUCCUGAGAGAAGAGUUUGAGGGGCGAUUUUGCCUCAGAACACCAGCUAACACUUAAAAGAGGUGACAGAAUGAAGCUUGAAGACCACAUUAAUGAAACCCAGUCCUGACCCACAACCAGCAAUCCCCAGCUCUGUGCUAUUGCAAACAAGUGCUUUCCUCUUGGACAGUGACUUUUAUAACAAGUCUGCCUGUUUCCUCAGAUACUUGCUCUCAAGAUGAGUCACUCUUCCAUGAAGUCUGCCAUGAAGAUAACAUCUUCCUCCUCUACAUAGCACAUCACCUUUUAGUGCUGCAGCAUGUGAAAAUGUUAACUUCAAAGCACAGCAUGGACCGUUCGAAUACCAACAUCAUUACACUGGGCAGCGUAACACUGCCUACACCUAAUUAAUGCUUGUACAACGCUUUGAAGAUACAAAAGUUAUGAUUACUGACUAAUAACAGUAUUGAACUAAUACAAAAGCUGGGCUAAUUCCUACUGAAACGAGUGUGGAAACCAUUUAGAGUUCCAUCACACCACACCACCACUCCAACAAACUCCUGUGUAGGGGUGGAGGGGAAUGGGAGAAGUCAAGUCCAGACCUUGCUAUGGUGACUCUCCUGCCUCUGACACAAAGGAAAGCGGAGAUCAGUGCUUCUGGUUUAAUACCCAUGACUUCUUUUGAAACAAGAUAAAAAGCAUCCCUGAAGUAUCAAAAAAAUUAACCACAUGAACGUUCAGCCUUAUUAUUAAACAUAAUCUUCACAGAAUUCAUUAUGCCUUUUAUAAAGCUUCAUGCCAGGUACGUACAGUGUAGUACCUCAUCACAACUUAGAGAAAAGGAAAGAGGUUGUAGCGAGUAUUGUCAAUCCUUUCUUGAGUGCUGUGGAAUAGACAUCUUCAUGCUGUAUUCUUGUAAUUAACGUGACAGUAAGUCACAGCCACAAGGAAUUAAAAUCUAAUAUCCCCUUCUCCAGCAUAUGCAACAGCAUCUUCUGCUACGUAUUUCUACCCUAGGUUGUUCAAGUUUAUGCUAGACUCACCCCUGCAGGAAGCCCCAUCCUUAUGGGAUAUAAGAGUAUGAAUGACUGAUGUGUGGGAUCUGGUGAAUCCAACUCGAUUCAUCAUCCCAUCAUUGCUCCCCAGGUAUCGGCUCAGUUGCCCUCUAGCACAGUACGACAGAAAAGAACUGCCUCCAAUUCAGGCAUUCACUGGAUCUGUUUCUUUCCAGGAAUGCACAGCUCUACCGUACCUGUUGCCCCACAUACCCAAGAACUGGGAUAACUAUUUCCAAUGCCAUUAUUACAUUUUCAGAAUUACUCAUUUCUAUAGCUACGUUUGCAUGGAAUCAAAACCACUCAUUUCAAUCAGGAAAAAAAAUUUACAUUAAGCACGAACAUCUUUUGGAAUGGAACCCCUUGAUCCCAGCUGCCACCAAACCUUACCUGGUCUGCACUAAGCCUCAUGGACACUCCUUUUCAUUAGGGGGCUACACCUGGCAUACCGUCAUCACAGACGGCACACUCACCGAGUAGACUCUUACCAAGUCCAAGGGACAAAAGAGCAAGACCGUCUCAUUCAACUGUAAGCGAAAUCCAUCUUGCCACUGGCCAGCAGGCCACUCAUGUGCUUCCGCUCUGUAAGCUGCACAGUAAAACGUUUUCAUCUUAAACAGAUUAGCAGUGCAGUGCCAAACAGUAAAUUUAACUACAGCAUUCUUAAACCUUCAUGUUGCACUCCUCCUUCCACACCACUUCGUGCAAGGCUUACCCAAAAUUGCAAUCCAGCACUGGGAGGCUAACACGAGGUGUACAUUUCAGAAUAAGGGUUUUGCCCUUCCACAACAAUCAUUUACUCACUUUGUGCCCUUGACUUGGUGCCGUUUCAACAUUAAGGAAGGAUCACCGCAGGCAUUGUUACAGAGUCCUCCCUAAUGGGGUGCUUUUACAAAACCUAAAGAGUGCCAUUUAUCAUUGUGGCUUUCCAUUCCUGCAGAAAAUUCUUCCCAGUGUUUCAAUACCAGACAACUAGCCGUAUUUAAGUAGUGAAUUUCAAGUAUCUUUUUAAGUAUUUGGAUGUUCAGAAUCCUUCAGACACUUACUUUAAAAGUACCUCAGUGCAGUAAAUACAACUAUAUUCAUUAUCCACAAUGUCAUGCAGA